GCGUGGCCUGGGUGGAUGGGCGUUAUCCAUGGUUACGAGAUAGAGUUUGUGUUCGGAAUGCCACUGGAGAGAGACUCAACUACACAGCCGAGGAGGAGAAACUGAGUCGACGCCAUGAUGAGAUACUGGGCUAACUUCGCACGCACCGGUAACCCCAACAUCAAUUUUGACGGCAGUGGUGGAUAGGCAGGCAGAGGUGGCCGCAGUUCACCAACAGUGAGCAAAAAACACGUGGGGCUGAACACAGAAUCUCUGAAGAUCCAACAAGGGCCUGCGGAACCAGCUGUGUGCAUUCUGGAACCGCUUUCUGCCACGCCUCCUCAAUAUCACCGAUAACAUAGACGAGGCAGAGCGUCAGUGGAAGGUGGAGUUCCAUCGUUGGUCCUCCUACAUGAUGCAUUGGAAGAGCCAGUUCGACCAUUACAGCAAGCAGGAGCGCUGCACUGACCUCUGAGGAGAGGGGAGAGAGAGAGAGAUGCCGACCAUGUCCUUCCAUAUUAUUCUACAUGUCUUCAUGUGAUAUGUUGAGGCUUGGUAUGUUGAGGCUUGAUAUGU
Molecule: long non-coding RNA, 555 nt
Organism: Salvelinus sp. IW2-2015
Lineage: Eukaryota; Metazoa; Chordata; Actinopteri; Salmoniformes; Salmonidae
Source: RefSeq, a predicted model, not a curated record